GAUUAACGCUAGCGGCAGGCCUAAUACAUGCAAGUCGAACGGGAUUUCGGGUAGCAAUAUCUGAAUGAGAGUGGCGCACGGGUGCGUAACACGUAUGCAAUCUGCCUCUGACUGGGGAAUAGCCUUCCGAAGGGAAGAUUAACACCGCAUAAAAUAAUGAAGUUGCAUCACUUUAUUAUCAAAACUCCGGUGGGCAGAGAUGAGCAUGCGUCCGAUUAGCUAGUUGGGAAGGUAACGGCUCACCAAGGCGACGAUCGGUAGGGGGUCUGAGGGGAGGAUCCCCCACACUGGGACUGAGACACGGACCAGAAUCCUACGGGAGGCAGCAGUAAGGAAUAUUGGACAAUGGUCGCAAGACUGAUCCAGCCAUGCCGCGUGAAGGAUGAAUGCCCUAUGGGUUGUAAUCUUCUUUUAAACGGGAAAAAACCCCUCUACGUGUAGAGGGCUGAUGGUACCGUAAGAAUAAGGAUCGGCUAACUUCGUGCCAGCAGCCGCAGUAA
This 500-nucleotide ribosomal RNA is filed under the name uncultured bacterium. RNAcentral's name for it is "partial 16S ribosomal RNA". It matches the Rfam family "Bacterial small subunit ribosomal RNA", at positions 28 to 523 of the family's 1533-position model. The record is from RNAcentral.